CACCUAGGAUCUUCUUUAAUAUCCAGUAGUUUCUCUGAAGGAGAGUGGCUUGCCCUGCACUCAGAUGGCAAUUCAUGUCCAGUUUGUGAGAUCUUAGACAGAUGUGAUAGAUAAUUUGGGGAAGGGGAUAAGGGGGAAAAAAAAAAAAGAGGCUGGACACUAGACCUUUGAGAGUCAUUUCUAAGUAGAGGUGGGGAAAAAGGGAGCGAUGGCCAUGAGGGUGCUUGCACGGUGCCUCCCCGCCACACCUGGGAACAGGGACUUGAGAAGUGGCUGACGUGUUUAUUUGGUGUGAGGUCAGCUACAGCUCUGAGGGCAAUAAUAUGAUUCCCAUAAAACAGAACUCCCAGGCUGGGCCACCGGCCUGCUUGCUGCCAAAGAAAGGUGGUGGCCUAGUAAAUGAGACAUUGCUGUCAGCUCUCCAUAAAUGGAGGAUUCCUUCACUUUGUGAAUUAUGCAGGCUCUUCCUUGCCCUCCCAUGUCCAUCCUGCCUAUUGCUUUUUAACUCCUUGUUUUGUGUGGCUUCUUUCAGAUGGAAAAGAAAGGAAAAGAGAUUUGAUUUCUGUGGCUGAGAACCACUCCAACAGAAGAUUUUGUGAAGAAUGAGGUUGAAGCUAUUAGUACAAGUUAGAAAAAAAAAUCUAGUUCUAAGACCUGCAGAAGAAAGACCUGAACUUCAGAGGGGACCACAAAUGAAUAUGAAUUAAGAACGGGGUUCUCUUUUCAAAAGCCAACACAAAAUGAGGACAUGUUUUAUGUAAAAGCAGCUCUUCUUGCCAGUGGGCUUCCACGUGUCCUUCUUUCAUAUAUCACAGCCAGACCUAGGAAAUUCCCUGGGAAGUGCGCUCCACCACAGUGCCUGCAGUUUCUCCAUUUGACUGGGAUUCUGUUGCACCUUGAGAGAUUUUUUUUUUUUUUUUUGAUGUUUGGGAAGCUGUUACCACAAAAAAGCCCUUCCUGCAGUGAGGAAAUAGCAUGGUACCCAGAAAGACGAAGGGAGUGGACUGGGAAAUGGGAAUCUGGGUCCAUUUCCCUCCUACCAGUACCAUUUCCCUCCUACCAGUACCAUUUCCCUCCUACCAGUACUGUGUGUUUUUCCUGGCCUCAGUGGCUUCAUCUGUAAAAUGGAACAGUGUGGACAUGAAAGUGAAAACAUCUGCCAUUGUGACUAUAAAUGUUUAAGAAACGAGUCCUGCGUACCUGCCUCCUUCAGUUUUCCAUCUGUAAGGUACCACUUAUUGGGUGCUUGCUAUUUGUGGAGCAAAAAGAAUGCUGAAGCAAGAAGGCAGCCUCGAAGGGGUGCUGUUCAGAGCCAAUUUACAAUUAUGAAGGAAGCCAGAUUGAAGAAAAUGCCAAAAAGUACAAAAGGGAAGGCCAAACUGAAAGAAUUUCAGAACAUCAGAGUCUGGGCCAUGAUGCACCCAGGCUUCAUGAUAUAUGAGAGAUGUUCACUGUGACCUCAAGUGGAUUCUUCUCCACCAAUCCAAAAUUUUAUCCCAGGAGACACCAGCAAUCAUUUGCAGGAGAUAUUGAUCAACCAGAGAAUGCACAUUUCUGAACCAGAUCCCUGGUGAGGUUGAUGGGACAGUAGCAGGAAGCUUGUUUUGUGGAUUUGGAAAUGAAAACCCAAGAGAGUCUGAGAAGCCCUAUGUGCCACAAGUCCUCUGUCUGCCCCCGGCCACUGCCAGCAUCACGAGGCCAGGUGAGCUUUGUUCUCUAUCGUAUUCAUGGGUUCUGCUACUACGCCUAAUGAAGAGGUGCCUCAUGAACCUUGAGUCAAAAUAAGCAGUGGAUGGAUAUCUUUGUUAACAUCUUGUUCUUGCUUAGCUUACCUGCUCUGAUGUGUCUGAAUUUCUCUCCUCUCCUGUGUCUCUUCAUGACCUCCUUUGCUUGCUUCUUUCUUGCCCUACUGUCAGCAUCUCUCAGUUCCUUCUUUCUCUCCCAACCCUUGAAUGUGUAAACUUCUUAGGCUUCAGCCCUGAGCCCUCUGCCUCUCUC
This is a non-coding RNA of Sus scrofa (pig), 1998 nucleotides long. The record is from RefSeq and is a predicted model, not a curated record. NCBI's taxonomy places the organism in Eukaryota, Metazoa, Chordata, Mammalia, Artiodactyla, Suidae.